This 72-nucleotide transfer RNA is filed under the name Urocitellus parryii (Arctic ground squirrel). RNAcentral's name for it is "Spermophilus parryii (Arctic ground squirrel) tRNA". It matches the Rfam family "tRNA". Rfam says of the family: Transfer RNA (tRNA) molecules are approximately 80 nucleotides in length. Their secondary structure includes four short double-helical elements and three loops (D, anti-codon, and T loops). The record is from Rfam by way of RNAcentral. Lineage: Eukaryota; Metazoa; Chordata; Mammalia; Rodentia; Sciuridae. RNAcentral also lists the same sequence under 1 other name.
GCAGAUGUAGCUAAAUGGUAGAGUGCUUACCUAGCAAGUUGGAGGCCCUGGGUUCAAUCCCUAGCACCUCCA